UACGUAGGGUGCGAGCGUUAAUCGGAAUUACUGGGCGUAAAGCGUGCGCAGGCGGCUUCGCAAGUCAGACGUGAAAUCCCCGGGCUUAACCUGGGAAUGGCGUUUGAAACUACGGAGCUGGAGUGUGGCAGAGGGAGGUAGAAUUCCACGUGUAGCGGUGAAAUGCGUAGAUAUCUGGAGGAACACCGGUGGCGAAGGCGGCAUCCUGGACCGGCAUUGACGCUGAGGCGCGAAAGUGUGGGGAUCAAACAGG
RNAcentral lists this ribosomal RNA (253 nucleotides) under uncultured bacterium. RNAcentral describes it as "partial 16S ribosomal RNA". It matches the Rfam family "Bacterial small subunit ribosomal RNA", at positions 524 to 776 of the family's 1533-position model. The record is from RNAcentral.